GUGAGGAAUAUUGGUCAAUGGGCGAGAGCCUGAACCAGCCAAGUCGCGUGAAGGAUGAAGGUUUUAUGAAUUGUAAACUUCUUUUGCAGGGGAAUAAAGUACGGUACGUGUACCGUUUUGUAUGUACUCUGCGAAUAAGGAUCGGCUAACUCCGUGCCAGCAGCCGCGGUAAUACGGAGGAUCCAAGCGUUAUCCGGAUUUAUUGGGUUUAAAGGGUGCGCAGGCGGGUUGAUAAGUCAGCGGUGAAAGUUUGCAGCUUAACUGUAAAAUUGCAGUUGAAACUGUCGAUCUUGAGUGCAAAUGAGGUAAGCGGAAUGUGUUGUGUAGCGGUGAAAUGCUUAGAUAUAACACAGAACACCGAUUGCGAAGGCAGCUUACUGGGAUGCAACUGACGCUCAUGCACGAAAGCGUGGGGAUCAAACAGGAUUAGAAACCCGAGUAGUCC
RNAcentral lists this ribosomal RNA (445 nucleotides) under uncultured bacterium. RNAcentral's name for it is "partial 16S ribosomal RNA". It matches the Rfam family "Bacterial small subunit ribosomal RNA", at positions 354 to 796 of the family's 1533-position model. The record is from RNAcentral.